RNAcentral lists this ribosomal RNA (497 nucleotides) under uncultured bacterium. RNAcentral describes it as "partial 16S ribosomal RNA". It matches the Rfam family "Bacterial small subunit ribosomal RNA", at positions 28 to 507 of the family's 1533-position model. The record is from RNAcentral.
GAUGAACGCUGGCGGCGUGCCUAAUACAUGCAAGUCGAGCGAACGGACGAGAAGCUUGCUUUUCUGAUGUUAGCGGCGGACGGGUGAGUAACACGUGGAUAACCUACCUAUAAGACUGGGAUAACUUCGGGAAACCGGAGCUAAUACCGGAUAAUAUUUUGAACCGCAUGGUUCAAAAGUGAAAGACGGUCUUGCUGUCACUUAUAGAUGGAUCCGCGCUGCAUUAGCUAGUUGGUAAGGUAACGGCUUACCAAGGCAACGAUGCAUAGCCGACCUGAGAGGGUGAUCGGCCACACUGGAACUGAGACACGGUCCAGACUCCUACGGGAGGCAGCAGUAGGGAAUCUUCCGCAAUGGGCGAAAGCCUGACGGAGCAACGCCGCGUGAGUGAUGAAGGUCUUCGGAUCGUAAAACUCUGUUAUUAGGGAAGAACAGAUGUGUAAGUAACUGUGCACAUCUUGACGGUACCGAAUCAGAAAGCCACGGCUAACUACGUG